This 285-nucleotide unclassified non-coding RNA is filed under the name uncultured Entrophospora. RNAcentral describes it as "uncultured Claroideoglomus sequence contains 18S rRNA gene". It matches the Rfam family "Eukaryotic small subunit ribosomal RNA", at positions 569 to 861 of the family's 1831-position model. The record is from RNAcentral. Lineage: Eukaryota; Fungi; Glomeromycota; Glomeromycetes; Entrophosporales; Entrophosporaceae.
AGCAGCCGCGGUAAUUCCAGCUCCAAUAGCGUAUAUUAAAGUUGUUGCAGUUAAAAAGCUCGUAGUUGAAUUUCGGGAUCAAUUGAUCGGUCGUGCCACUGGUACGCACUGGUUUUAUUGGUUUUCCCUUCUGACGAACCAGGAUGUCAUUAAUUUGGUGUCUUGGAGAAUCAGGACUGUUACUUUGAAAAAUUAGAGUGUUUAAAGCAGGCUAACGCUUGAAUACAUUAGCAUGGAAUAAUGAAAUAGGACGUUUGAUCCUAUUUUGUGGUUUCUAGGAUCGAC